This 914-nucleotide ribosomal RNA is filed under the name uncultured bacterium. RNAcentral's name for it is "bacterial SSU rRNA". It matches the Rfam family "Bacterial small subunit ribosomal RNA", at positions 8 to 917 of the family's 1533-position model. The record is from RNAcentral.
AGAGUUUGAUCAUGGCUCAGAUUGAACGCUGGCGGCAGGCCUAACACAUGCAAGUCGAGCGGUAGAGAGAAGCUUGCUUCUCUUGAGAGCGGCGGACGGGUGAGUAAUACCUAGGAAUCUGCCUGGUAGUGGGGGAUAACGUUCGGAAACGGACGCUAAUACCGCAUACGUCCUACGGGAGAAAGCAGGGGACCUUCGGGCCUUGCGCUAUCAGAUGAACCUAGGUCGGAUUAGCUAGUUGGUGAGGUAAUGGCUCACCAAGGCUACGAUCCGUAACUGGUCUGAGAGGAUGAUCAGUCACACUGGAACUGAGACACGGUCCAGACUCCUACGGGAGGCAGCAGUGGGGAAUAUUGGACAAUGGGCGAAAGCCUGAUCCAGCCAUGCCGCGUGUGUGAAGAAGGUCUUCGGAUUGUAAAGCACUUUAAGUUGGGAGGAAGGGCAUUAACCUAAUACGUUAGUGUUUUGACGUUACCGACAGAAUAAGCACCGGCUAACUCUGUGCCAGCAGCCGCGGUAAUACAGAGGGUGCAAGCGUUAAUCGGAAUUACUGGGCGUAAAGCGCGCGUAGGUGGUUUGUUAAGUUGAAUGUGAAAUCCCCGGGCUCAACCUGGGAACUGCAUCCAAAACUGGCAAGCUAGAGUAUGGUAGAGGGUAGUGGAAUUUCCUGUGUAGCGGUGAAAUGCGUAGAUAUAGGAAGGAACACCAGUGGCGAAGGCGACUACCUGGACUGAUACUGACACUGAGGUGCGAAAGCGUGGGGAGCAAACAGGAUUAGAUACCCUGGUAGUCCACGCCGUAAACGAUGUCAACUAGCCGUUGGGAGUCUUGAACUCUUAGUGGCGCAGCUAACGCAUUAAGUUGACCGCCUGGGGAGUACGGCCGCAAGGUUAAAACUCAAAGGAAUUGACGGG